Mus caroli (Ryukyu mouse) is the source of this 1387-nucleotide long non-coding RNA. RefSeq lists it as uncharacterized. NCBI's taxonomy places the organism in Eukaryota, Metazoa, Chordata, Mammalia, Rodentia, Muridae. The record is from RefSeq and is a predicted model, not a curated record.
UACCGGAGAGGGAGGGCCGAGGUCGGCUCCCAGACCCACCGGGAAGAAGGGGGAAGGGAUCGAGUCCGGAGAGGCUGCGGCGCGUGGCCUGAGGCGGAGAGCUGGACUCCGGGGGUCUGGGCCAGGACAGGCGCCGGUCUGACCCGCCUUGCUCGCAAAUGCAGGCCGGGCUUCCUCUUCCCUUGGCGGGUGGGGGGGGAGGGGAGGGGGCUUGAGGCCGGAGGGAAAGGUGGUCCCAAUCCUCCAGUUUCAGAGCUACAAAGCUGAUCCGGGCCUCGUUAAGGGACGUCUGGGUGCCCCCUUAAAGACCUGGGGUGCCGCUACCACCGCAACCCCAAGGCACACCGGGUCUGGCUCGGUGUACCGCAUUCCCCUUCUUCCCCUGGAGCAUCUGGCGGAGCUGGGGGAAAGGCAAGAGAAAGCCAUCAAGGAGAAUGCUGUUGCCGCUGCAGCCUGGAGUCUUUGGCUCCUGCAGUUCAUGAGGCCUCUCUCAAUAGGGUAAGGGGCUGACCUACGCUAUGGUUCCCUGGGGACUCAGCAUCUGGAGCGGAGCAGGCAAAGGCUCAGCUAGAACCGGGAUCUGGGGCUGUGUUGUACUUGGAUAGCCGGAGUCAAUUUGGCCUAUCUCAAAACCCAGGCCUUGAGGCUGCUGCUGGAGGCGUCAAGUUGAGCAGGGCUGGAAAACGAAGCGGAGCGGGGCAUGCUGCCUUGUCCCUCCUCCCGGAGCCAAGGCGCCGGCCUGGGCGGAUCUGAUGGCGCGGUUACCGACUGAAGUGAAGCCCGGAACCUGAAGGGCUGGGAGGUCGGGGAGAAAGCAGAGAAGCACCGAAGGCCAGAAAUUAAAUUCACAGCCCGGGACCCCAACGACCCAAGGACUAGGGAAAAAGUCACUUCCCAUUCCGGCUCGAUCAAUCUUCCUUCGAUGCGAUUGAUUAAUAGAAAACGAAUGAAAAGACCGUGGUCGCUGUGCGUCUGGGAAGGAAGCGAAGGGCAGAGUGGCCAUUGUUGAAGCAAUUAGCGAGAGACAAUAACCACCGAGAUGCGUUUAAUUCGAUUCCGUGCACGCUGCAAUCCCCGCCCGGGCUCUGCGAUAUGCAGGCCUGGGAUAACCCGGAGGGUCUGGUUGUGAAGUUUAAAACACCGGAGGAAAGCUGCCCAAGCCAGGAGGAGCGAGGUAACGACGUGGAGACUACCAGAGAAGAGAAGUGCUGGGCAAUUACCCACCUCGUACUCCGCCCCCCAGCCCAGCCCUCUCCUUCAUCUUCGGGGGAUUCUUGCCCUCCCUCAGCCAAUACCAUUUUCCCCGCUUGAGAAAACCCCUGAUUAUAGAGAGAUUUUUAAAAGGGGGGGUAGAUAGGGGUGAAGCGGAAAGGGGCAGGUGGACAGG